UCGAGAAUCUUCCGCAAUGGACGAAAGUCUGACGGAGCGACGCCGCGUGGUGGAUGAAGUCCCUCUGGGACGUAAACACCUUUUAUGUGGGAUGAAGUUUUGACAGUACCACACGAAUAAGGGGCUCCUAACUCUGUGCCAGCAGGAGCGGUAAUACAGAGGCCCCAAGCAUUACCCGGAAUUACUGGGCGUAAAGGGUGCGUAGGUGGCGUGAUUAGUCCUUCUUUAAAUUCUUCGGGCUCAACCCGAGGACUCGGAGGGAAACGGUCAUGCUGGAGGAUGUAAGAGGUGUGUGGAACUCACGGUGUAGGGGUGAAAUCCGUUGAUAUCGUGGGGAACACCAAAUGCGAAGGCAGCACACUGGGACAUUCCUGACACUGAGGCACGAAAGCGUGGGUAG
RNAcentral lists this ribosomal RNA (400 nucleotides) under uncultured bacterium. RNAcentral's name for it is "bacterial SSU rRNA". It matches the Rfam family "Bacterial small subunit ribosomal RNA", at positions 355 to 768 of the family's 1533-position model. The record is from RNAcentral.